GUCCCGGGUGCGGCGGGACUUGACCGUGCGGGGCUUGCCGCUGCGCAGGACCUGGUCCAUGAGGGGCAGCAGGCCGAGCUCCUCGGCCUCGGGGCA
RNAcentral lists this transfer RNA (96 nucleotides) under Streptomyces tanashiensis. RNAcentral describes it as "tRNA-Ala(tgc)". The record is from RNAcentral. Lineage: Bacteria; Bacillati; Actinomycetota; Actinomycetes; Kitasatosporales; Streptomycetaceae.